GGCAUCAGUGGUUUAGUGGUAAAAUCCAUCGUUGCCAUCGAUGGGCCCCGUGUUCGAUUCACGGCUGAUGCA
Molecule: transfer RNA, 72 nt
Filed under: Pseudogymnoascus verrucosus
Lineage: Eukaryota; Fungi; Ascomycota; Leotiomycetes; Thelebolales; Thelebolaceae
Also listed under: 1 other name
Description: partial tRNA-Gly
Rfam family: tRNA
About the family: Transfer RNA (tRNA) molecules are approximately 80 nucleotides in length.
Source: RNAcentral